CAUUCACGGAGAGUUUGAUCCUGGCUCAGGACGAACGCUGGCGGCGUGCUUA
RNAcentral lists this ribosomal RNA (52 nucleotides) under Streptomyces sp. VMFN-G11Ma. RNAcentral describes it as "partial 16S ribosomal RNA". Lineage: Bacteria; Bacillati; Actinomycetota; Actinomycetes; Kitasatosporales; Streptomycetaceae. The record is from RNAcentral.